RNAcentral lists this ribosomal RNA (301 nucleotides) under uncultured bacterium. RNAcentral's name for it is "partial 16S ribosomal RNA". It matches the Rfam family "Bacterial small subunit ribosomal RNA", at positions 509 to 807 of the family's 1533-position model. The record is from RNAcentral.
CAGCAGCCACGGGAAUACGUAGGUGGCAAGCGUUGUCCGGAAUUAUUGGGCGUAAAGGGCUCGCAGGCGGUUUCUUAAGUCUGAUGUGAAAGCCCCCGGCUCAACCGGGGAGGGCCAUUGGAAACUGGGAAACUUGAGUGCAGAAGAGGAGAGUGGAAUUCCACGUGUAGCGGUGAAAUGCGUAGAGAUGUGGAGGAACACCAGUGGCGAAGGCGACUCUCUGGUCUGUAACUGACGCUGAGGAGCGAAAGCGUGGGGAGCGAACAGGAUUAGAUACCCCAGUAGUCCCUGUCUCUUAUAC